Molecule: long non-coding RNA, 5818 nt
Organism: Lactuca sativa (garden lettuce)
Lineage: Eukaryota; Viridiplantae; Streptophyta; Magnoliopsida; Asterales; Asteraceae
Source: RefSeq, a predicted model, not a curated record
CUAAAAAUUCUUUUUUUAAAUAUUAUUUUCAGAACUUGAAUUAACUAAAAUAAAUAAAAAUAAAUUCCAUUUUUUUUUAAAAAUACGUGAAAUAUUCUAAUAGAAUAUUACACUGACAUAUUUUAAAAAAUAAUUUUAAGAUGCAGAAUAAAUGGAAAAAUAUAAAAAUUCUUUUUUUAAAUAUUAUUGUAACAUCCCGAAAUAUCAAGAGUAGAGUUGAAUGGCUAAAAGAGUAAAUUGGGAAAGAGCGACUCAGCGAGUCCAUGUGCGGACUCGGCGAGUAGAGUCGCGACUUGGUCGCGUGUUAAGUGGCCGACUCGACGAGUCAGUGUAAUGGACUCGGCGAGUAGGCGCUGAGUGGAGAAAACCCUAAUUCUCGAGGUUGAGCCCUAUAUAAAGAACAUAACAUCCAUUCCCCCAGCCUCCUUACUCAUCCUCAAGUCCAGAAACCCUAACCCUCAUGUGUGAGUGGAUCAAGUGCAUUUGGAAGCUUGGAGAAGCAAUUGUUGAGGAAAUCUUGAAGCGUAAGAGGCUUGGAGCAAGGGGCUUUGCUUGGAUUCGAGUUUCAUUGCAGUGGGGGCGUUCCUUUGAGGUAAUAUCUCGUUUUUGAGCUGCUAUUUCUUAGAUGCAUCAUUUUGGGGGUGUUAGAGAUCAUAUCUUUGGAUGUAUUGGAGUUUAGAUGUUAGAUCUGAGGUUGCUACCUCAGAUCUGGAAUGGAGAAGGGUUGGAAUGCAUGAAAGUCCCUGUUUGUGAGUGGUUGAUGGAGCUAUUUUGUCCCAAACCCAAACCCUAGAGUGAAAAUGCAUAGAUCUCUUUGGAUUCACGUAAAGUUUGCCACUUUACGUGAUGGAUGAGUUGUAGGAGGCUAGAUCUAUGUUUUGGAUCAAUUGCAUGGCCUAAAAUGCUUCUGUAUGGAUUCAGACCGGUGGUACUCGGCGAGUCACAUGGGUGGACUCGACGAGUUGCUUGAAGAUAAGCUGGAACUCGACGAGUUGGAAGAACAACUUGGCGAGUUGGAUGAUGAUGGCCUGGAACUCGGCGAGUUGUAUGAACAACUCGGCGAGUAGGUUGAAGAUAGCCUUAGACUCGGCGAGUCUGUUAUUGGACUCAGCGAGUCUUGUCGAAGAGUCCCAAUAUUUUCUGGUUGAGUCGAGAAUCGGCAAGUCAAGGGAUGACUCGGUGAGUUGUGUGCGAGUGGACUCAGAGUUGUGGGACUCGGCGAGUCUCGGGGUGACAAUGCUCUGAUACCAAUCUGUCACACCCCAAAACCGAUAACGGCGGAAUACGUUUCGGGAUGGAUGACGUAGUGUACGGUAUCAUCACAAUUGCAUAAUAGUAAAAGCAAGAAAUAUACAACCAUUUCAUUUACAUAGAGAGUGUAUUUACAAGUGUGUUAUGUAAUGUUCAACAAACACCAAAAGUAAACAAAAAUAAGAGAUGGGUCUUGCAUGCUCCAUCUUCUCCAAAAAUGCUGCAGUUGUACCUGUUUACCUUUGACCUGAAGAUACAAGUUAUUUUGAAAAGAAUAUCAACAUAAAGCUGGUGAGUUCAUAAGAGUUUAGUGUGAGUUUUUGUAUAAAGAGCAAUAGUGCGAAAAAUGUGCUAUUUAUAUUCAUAAGCAGUAGAAAGCCUAGAAAAUCCUAUAUUUUCCCGAAAAUACAUUGUAAGUGAAAUGUAUGAAAAGUAUGCAUUCUCUAUUUUUGAAAACAGUUUGAUGUAAAAGUAUAUUAGCAAUCCUCAAAUAGUAAUGUGAUAGAGUAGGUUAAGCCUGUAUUUAGUGGUAGAGGUGCAAGCUUCCUUUAGUGAUCGAUACUUACUUACUUCGGGAUGUAGUUUAGCGUUUAGUGUAGUAUUUUAGAGUAGUUAUAGUGUAUUCCUUGUAUCUUACUAAUAGUGAGGAUCAUAGAGGAUCCCAUGACCUUCCCAGUCAUGCACAGUGUAGUGAAGUAGUGGCAUCCCUGGGCCUGCACGGCGCGGACUGAAAUUAACAGUCAGGAUAAGAUAGCGCCUGCCCCGUAUAGAUCUAUACAUGUAGUGUUGUCUUCCAGUCGGAAAACUCCGGGCGUAGUGGGUAACGAAUAGAGUAACUCGUAGUGGGUUAGUGUAUUAUUGUUUGUUUAGUGUUUUCUCUUUUAUUAUAGUGUAGUAAUCUUUUAGUAUUGAUCAUAGUGUAUUCUCUUACUAGCGUAUUGUCUGGUAAUAGUAAGUAUUAUAAUGUAGAGAGUAGUGACUUUAGCGAGUAGUAGUAGUAGCAACAUUAACUAUACCUAUUACAGUUAACUUAGUGUAGAUGGUUCUUGACAUGUUAGUGACUUUAGUAUCUAGUGAAAGGAGAAAUAUUCAUGUCCCAUACUAAUAUACAAGUUAUAUAACUAAGAAAUCAACGACAGUCGGACGGAUAACUACUACCCUAAGCCCACAAUCAAACAAGAACAGGAAAUAAGGCGAGAUAUCGGUCCUAAGUCCUCCAAGUCUUACUUAUAUAAAUAUAUCAGAGUGGUUACAUUAUAAAGGUAAAUUAAUUUAAUAAAAGUAUUUUCCAAAAGAACAUUUAAAAUCUGUCUUGCUUGUCCAAAAUAGUUUUGAAAAUGUAUAAAUCUGUUUAUAAGGCAUAGUGAUAAAUCACAUGUGAUUUGAACUAAGAAUAGUGAAUCACAUGUGAUUAAUCCUCGUAACGUGGAAAACCACUCUGUAAAACUUUCCAUAAACAUCUAUAAGCAACUUGUAUCUCCCCCCUAAAACAUUUAAAACAUUUGAAAGGUUCAUUAAAGGGGUAUGAACUCACCUGAAUUCGCGUAAAUCGGGUGAAUCGGGUAAAUCGGGUAAAAGUGUCGGUUGAGCGUUUGGUACCAAAUAACGACUUGAGCACCUUUUAGGACCCUAAUGCCAUAUGAAAUAUGUAUUUUACAAGAAUUUAAUCAUCUUAUGCUUUUCAUUAUAGUAUUUGGACAUUCUAGCAUCGUUUUCGGGGUUUUAGGGCCUAGAAGGGGUUCCCGGGAGUGGUACAAGGCCAAGAAUGAUUUACGGGAGGGUCCAUGAGCUCACUCCCUUGGAGUUUACGGCCCAAAGGCCACUCCUUGGGAGUUUACGGCCGUAAGCCCCCUAGGCUUGGCCGUAAACUCAUGUGGUCCUCCAAAAUGCAAGUUUAAUGCCUUAUUUCACUUCCCUAAUUUACUAGCAAGUGUCUUGAACUAAUAUGGAGGGUUUAAACUCUCAUUUGGUGACAUUUUGGGGAGUUUACGGCCAAGGCUUGUUCUUAGGCCGUAAACUCCAUUUAAUCCCUCAAAAUGGUUGUUUAAAUGGUACAACACACUCCCAUUCACCUUAGAUAAAUUCUAGAAGGCCUUAGAUGGAGUUUUGGGACAUUUUGGCAUAAGAAUUGGGGAGUUUACGGCCCAAGAAUAUCCUUGGCCGUAAACUCUUCUUUUGGCCUCAAAAUGAGAAGUUUAAUGGUACAACACACAUCCUAGGGCCUUAGCUAAAUUCCUUACAUGUAUUAGAUAAGUUUUGGGACAUUUUGACACAAAAAUUUGGGUGUUUACGGCCCAAGCUUUGACUUGGCCGUAAACUCCUCUUUUUGUCCUCAAAUGAUGUUGUUUAAUGCACUUAAACAUUUCCUAGUGCCAAGACUAAAUUACUAAACACCCUAGAUGAGUUUUUGGGGCUUUUAACAAGGGUUUUUGGGGUUUUUGGGGUGUUUAUGGCCUAAGCAUAAGCUUGGGCCGUAAACUCCUUUUUAAGCUUCAAAUCCUUGUGUUUUAAUGUCCAAACUCUCCUAGGUAUAUGUCUUAAUUAGUCCAUAAACUUAAAGGAAGGAAAAAUGAGGUUUUUGGCAAGUUUUUAGGUGUUUACGGCCUAAGGGGCUUCUUAGGCCGUAAACUCCUUUUUGGUCCUUGUUUUCCAUGAUUUUUGGCCCCUACAUACAAUGAAGUAUGUUUAGAAUAAGAUAGGGAAUGAGUCCUUACGUUUGGAAGCCGGAAUUUGCGGAUUUGGGGUCGGUUUCGGGUCUAGAGAGAGAAAGUAGUGAGAGAGAGAGUGAAGGUGUGGUAAAAGAGUUCAAUUGUAGUGUCCAUUUGUUUAUAUAUGUCUCGGGUAUUGCACCCGAUACACGGCUACCCGAUGCUAAAGUUUAACGGGGUAAAAACUUUUUACCCGGGUGAAGUGGUUGAAAAGUAAUAUAACUCUAUUUAGUUAAACGGGGUUAACAUUUACAAGUUAUAAUUACUUAUGAUAAUAUCCGAGCAUAUAAAUAACUAGAUAUUUGUUUAUUGACGACUCCUAACAUUACAACAAUAACAUGUAGUGACGCAUUCCGUUAGUGAAAAUAGGGUUUGUAACGGCAAUAUAUUUGGGGUUGCCACACCAUGAGUUCGAUCUUAAAGCUAAGUAAACUCAAAAAUCAUAACACUUGUGAUUCCACUAAAAAAUCAUAGCACUUGUGAUUCCACUCGUUUGCAGACUUGUCUAGAAUCCAUGAUACGAUAAAUCAUUUGAUUGGAAAUGUAAAUGUAGUCAUGAAAUGCGCCUGCUUAGUUAAGAUUCCCCUAAUAAAUAUUCAAAUGCAUUACAAAGUUGUACAUGUAUGAAUAAUGUCCUUUUGUAGGUUAUGUUUUGAAGAGAAGCAAGAAUGAAUCUCAUAAAGUCAUUAAUAUCAGUAGGAGAUGAUGUGAGAUUUGUUGUAAAUGAGUAAAGGGAAAAUGAAUCAGGAGGGUAACCAACUGUUGCGUUUGUUCUCAUUUGGUCCCUUUCCUUUUUUUGUACUCAAUAUACCAUCGAACUUGUUGUUUGUGUUCACCAUAACCCUUUGACCGGCUAUCACAGGUCAAAAGUCGGUCAAAAGGGCUAUGGUAAACACCAACAACAAGUUCGAUGGUAUAUUGAAUACAAAAAAAAAAAAGAAAAGGGACCAAAUGAGUACAAACGCAAAAGUUAAUUACCCUCAAGAGUCAUUUUCCCUUUUCUAAAAGCAUCUUAAAGUUUUAGACUUUGGCCCGUAUCCGAAAAAAAAAUUACGCGUCCUUCCCUCUUUUACCCUCAUACGAUGCUGUUGAUAUGCCCGCCUCCAAAAUAAAAUCCCCACGUUCAUAUCUUCUCUUCUGUCUCCUCCCACCUCCGACCCUGUAGAGCGUCGAUCACCUCCUCCGACCUCCUCCCGUCGUCGACCUUCCCUGAAAUCGACUCUAUCAACCGAUCACCGCCUCUGCUUGCGCCGCCUUUUCCACCGGUAAUGAACCCCUCCAUCUUCCUCAAAUUCUAAAACCCUCCACAGUUCGAUACAAUUAAAUUUAUUGGGGACAACGGCGACGGUAUAUGUUCAGAGCUCCGGUAGCUAGUAGUGGUGGUGUCCUUUAACAUCCAUCACCACUCAAUCACCAAACCUGGCAGAUAUGGGGGAUCAGAGUCACCACCGAGCUGCCGCUCCCACGGCUUUCCAAUUCCACCCGACAUGACCAGCCAUCAUCGACGUGUUCAAUCUAUACCUCAGCGACCGCGAUAAUUCAGACGAUUUGGUCCGAGAACCCCUGAACAAGACACAGAAACGAGUUAAGAGGCAAAUCAAGACCUUACUCACUAGUCAAAGCUCAUGCACCUCUUCAGAAGGCUAUAGGAUUGUUUCAAAGAUUGAUGUUGAUCAUAUGCAACGAAUCUCACACAUAAAGAAUUCCAAGAUAAGAAAGACAUCAAAACGGGAAUGAUAGGGUUCAGUUGCAAAUUAGAAUAGUUUUUGUGUUGUGUUUGAAAAUAUUUAUGUUUGGAUUUUAUUCGAAUUUUAGUAUUAUUUGGUGGAUUUGAAAAUAUUUUUGUUUGAUUUGGAUUA